This is a non-coding RNA of Cordylochernes scorpioides, 75 nucleotides long. Lineage: Eukaryota; Metazoa; Arthropoda; Arachnida; Pseudoscorpiones; Chernetidae. The record is from the annotation of a GenBank genome assembly.
GUCCAGGGUAGCCUAGUGGACAUGGCAUCUGCCCGGUAAGCGGAACACUGUGGGUUCGAUUCCCAUCACUGGACA